Molecule: ribosomal RNA, 425 nt
Filed under: uncultured bacterium
Lineage: Bacteria
Description: bacterial SSU rRNA
Rfam family: Bacterial small subunit ribosomal RNA
Source: RNAcentral
GUUAGGAAUAUUGGACAAUGGGCGCAAGCCUGAUCCAGCCAUGCCGCGUGAGUGAUGAAGGCCUUCGGGUUGUAAAGCUGUUUAGCCGAUGAUUAUAAUGACUGUAGUCGGAAAAUAAGCCCCGGCUAACUUCGUGCCAGCAGCCGCGGUAAUACGAAGGGGGCGAGCGUUAUUCGGAAUCACUGGGCGUAAAGCGUGCGUAGGCGGCUUUGCAAGUUGGGAGUGAAAGCCCAGGGCUCAACCCUGGAAUUGCUCUCAAAACUGCAAGGCUCGAAUUCGGGGGAGGAUAGCGGAAUUGUCAGUGUAGCAGUGAAAUGCGUAGAUAUUGACAGGAACACCAGUGGCGUAAGCGGCUAUCUGGACCGAUAUUGACGCUGAGGCACGAAAGCGUGGGGAUCAAACAGGAUUAGAAACCCCGGUAGUCC